CAGUAGCCGCGGUAAUACGAAGGGGGCUAGCGUUGUUCGGAUUUACUGGGCGUAAAGGGCGCGUAGGCGGACUGAUAAGUCAGGGGUGAAAUCCCAAGGCUCAACCUUGGAACUGCCUUUGAUACUGUUUGUCUUGAGUUCGAGAGAGGUAAGUGGAACUGCGAGUGUAGAGGUGAAAUUCGUAGAUAUUCGCAAGAACACCAGUGGCGAAGGCGGCUUACUGGCUCGAAACUGACGCUGAGGCGCGAAAGCGUGGGGAGCAAACAGGAUUAGAUACCCCAGUAGUCCCUGUCUCUUAUAC
RNAcentral lists this ribosomal RNA (301 nucleotides) under uncultured bacterium. RNAcentral describes it as "partial 16S ribosomal RNA". It matches the Rfam family "Bacterial small subunit ribosomal RNA", at positions 509 to 807 of the family's 1533-position model. The record is from RNAcentral.